GUGGGUUUGAAUCCAGUUCAGCAGUUUGCAUGUUGUUCACGUGCAUUUCUGCAGGGUGCUCUGGUUUCCUCCCGCAAUCCCAAGCCAUGUGAAUGGGUGUCUCUAAAUCACCAUUGCUGUUCGUGCGAGUGUGAUUGCACUGCGAUGUACAUGAUCCAGGGUGUAACCCUGCCCCGCAGUCUGUGCUUCCUGGAUAGGCUCUGGACCACCAUGACCCUACACUGAACAACCUGUUACUAAUAAUGAAUGCAGUAACAAGCAAUUGUUUACAUUUAUAUGACAAAGAUCCAACACAUUGCUACAGGUCAAUGUUUGCGCAUUCAAGUUCAAUAUUUGCACUUCAUCAAGGAGUUUUAUGGAACGGCCUUAAACCCUCGGAAGGGGUGUCACGGGGGAAUUUUGCCAGCUGGAGGACUGUGCAUGUUUACCUGGGCGCCUCUCUUCAUUUGCCACUUUAUUACAGGAGCAAUAACAGCCAAUAACAGAAUUUCGCCUUCCGUUCGAGAUUCCGUUGCAGGCAGCCUCACCAACCCCGUCGGCACGCCGGCAGUUUGUCAUCUUGUACCAGCUGCAGAGCCGCCCGCCGUGGAGGUCCGUGGCCUGCCAGUGGCAGAUGUGGUUGGCCGUGGCCGUGAGCGCCGCCCUGCUGGCGCUGGUGCCGUACGCCGUUUUCCGCAUGAUGACAGCAUUCCGGAGCCCCUCGCCUCACUCCCUCUUCAAGGCAGCCGCCGUCUGCUUCGGCCUGCUCGCCGAGACCCUCCUGCUCAAGUGCCUGGCGGGAUACUGCAGCAGUCGAUACCGCAAGGCCGAGCUGUCCUCCUUCUCGGUGCAGCCGCGCAGCGUGGAGGGGCCUGCAGCUACGAGGGGCGCCGAAAACCGGGAUCCCUCGGACGGAUCCCGCGGAAAAGCCGAGCUGUAGCCGGAAAAAAAUCCAACGGAAAACCAAACUGAUUUCGAGACUCGGUCGGCAUCGGGAUUGGGCCAUUUCAAACCCUGCCACUGCAGUCAUGUUUCAACGGAAGUUUCAGGGAUCCGGCGAGGCAGGAGGCCUAAAGCUCUUGGUCGGACACGACGGGGAAGUUCUCUAGACUCCGCUGACUAACGUGCUCCUUGGGUUUCGUUUCUGGGGGGGAUUUUGCGAGUGAAAGUUUGCAAGGUCUGAUUUGCAUGUCUAUGGAAGCUUUGUUUGUACUGCUUUUGGUUUUACUUCCUUAGUGGGGGAUUCUUAUGGGGAAAUGGUUUGGUACGCGGAUCUGUGUCGGGCGUCUCCCGCUUCCGUUACACAUAGCGGCAGAAGACGAGGACGCCACGUGGUCGUGGGCUCUGGAGGGCCGACCUGAUGAAAUUCUGCUUUACCACGCUGUUGUAAACACAGCAACGGACCCAAAGUCUCUCUUGUGAUAUGGCAAGAAUACACAGUGUACAUAGCUAUUCAUAGUGACACCCUAUAAUCCAGGUAAAAUAACAUAGGAUAUUGCGGCAUAAGUUGAGAACAAGAAAAUUUCCAUAAGAGAAUUGUUACCUUUGAUUAGCCUGUCAUUCCCCUUUAGUCCUUCCUCCCCCAUAAUUACUAUCAUAAUUAGAUUGAACUGGACUUGAUUACAAUACAUUUAAUUGCAUUAUCAGGAUGUAUAUUAUUUCUGUUUUUUUCUCCUUUUCUUCUUAUUAGAAAGCAGAUGCCAACCUAUCUCACUUUUUUUGUUGUAGUUAAUGGUGAAAAUUCGUUCCAGGUUCACGAGGAGGAAUUUAAUCGUUAAUUUUUCACAAGUGCCUCGGUCCUUUAAUGCCGAGCUGCGUGUGUACAAUUUUACAGCCUUGGAAUAUUUUGGAAUGCUGCCUCAAUAGUUUUCGCUCGUAAUGAAACGUUUCUUUAAGUGUUGAUUUCAUACAGAAAAAUUACUCCAGCUGUUUAAAAGAGUAAGCAAAUGUGCAGAGUUGUAGUCGCUCAACUUGGCAUCUUCUCAAUACGUGUGAACUUAUAGCCUCUCAAGCGGAGGAUUCCAGCGAGGAUGCUGCUUUCUGUGGAAUGUGCCUGUGGCCUCUCAGUCAUGGCUAAAUUCAGCCCCGGCUGCGAUGCUGCGAUCGGUGUCACCUGUCCUUGUGCAUCUCAUUAGGUCCAUUAGCCUCCACAGGCUUUGCUUCCCUCUAAUUAGACGGACUAUGAGACAGCAGCGAGAGAGAGGGGGCGACGGCUGCAUCUGCGGCGGUUAAAUCACCCUUAAAACCCUGAUUAAUCAAACGGGGGCAGGGAGGAAAAUUGGAGUAAAUAUAAAUAUUCCCUAAUUGACGAUCCACGAUGGGGGAAGGAAUAAUGCCUCUGUUUGCGUGUCAGCGUUCUGGAUUUUUACGUGCAACACAUGCGCUAGUGCUGUCGCGAUGGGAAGCGCGCUCUUCCCCAGGUCUGCGAGGAGAGGCCUAGGGGCAUCGCUGUGUUGUGUCACUUCCCUGUGAGCCAGGGGCACAACUGAAGCGUAAAAAAGAAAAAAAGAUUCCUGAUUCAGUACUUUUUGCUACAGAUCAGGUCUUUCAGGUUUUUUUUCCACGUCAUUGUCUAUUAUAGCACAUUUACUCUUUGUGAGUGUGUGUGAGUGUGUGAGUGAGUGCAACUGGAGGAUGCCACUGGGAGCAAUGGGAAUGCCGCAAAAUGCCAUAACAAAAGUGAGCCUGCGGCCGCGAGAUUUCCGAGCUUAACACUGGGACGCAGCAGAUGGGCGCCCCCGUGACUGCGCAAGUGCGGAUUAUUGCAUUUUCGGCAUCUGCGUCCCCACAUGGCCGCGAGGAACACGGCAGGAGAGGUGGACGCUGGUGAAGGCCGCUCUAGUGCCCACCUGCCUCCAGCUGCUGCCGCCCCCUAAGUCUCUCACACGCGCACAGACACACACACACACGCGGACCCUUUACAGCAGUUCAUUCCCAUUCAUGAAGCAUCCUUCAGGUUAUCUCCUUUUACAAGACAUUAGCUCCAGAAAUGCUGUUUCAUGAUGCCUAUAGCGUCCAGGCAAAUCCUCCCAAUAUCCAGCUUUCAAUUUUUUUUCAAUUGUUCCUUUGCUUUUCCUUUUUUUUUUUUUUUGCCUUGUUUUGCAAAACAUGUUGCUUUGUGCUCUUGAAUUUAUCUUCUUUUUAAUUCAAGGUGACACUGGUGCAAUAAAAAAUGGAAUGAUUUGAUUUUAGGCUGCCA
Long non-coding RNA from Scleropages formosus (Asian bonytongue), 3178 nucleotides. NCBI's taxonomy places the organism in Eukaryota, Metazoa, Chordata, Actinopteri, Osteoglossiformes, Osteoglossidae. The record is from Ensembl.